CCUCACCCAGCCUCUGAUUUUGUUGAUGCAGUUUUGCACCCACAAAUAAUAAGGCCCAAUUUUUUCUGCCUGCAGUGAAUUUGGGAUAAAAAUAGUAGUAGUUAGGCUAACUGAUUUAUGGGUACAAUUAGAUGUUUAACUACCAAUAUCUGAAGUUUACACACAAGUGGAGACCAGCUCUGAAAAUCAGCUCCCAAGAGUCUUCCACAGGCUAGAGCUGUUUCCCCUAGAGCUGUUUUCAGAUAAGUAGUAACUGGUAUUUUUGUCCUUUAUAGAAGGAAGCAAAACUGAAUUGUUCAAUGGGAGUUUUCCCUUCUUAAUAAAGAGUACAAGUCAGACAAUUACCUGUUAAGGCUGAAGAUGGAGAAAUCUGGAGAUUUUAGACAAGUGAUGCGAUGGCUUCAUUUGAAUAUUUUACAAAUAUGCAUUACUUCGUUUCCAUAUUUAGCCUUUAUAUUUUUAAUGAGAAAGUUGUUUGUAUUUGCUUUCUCUCAAUGUUGUCAGUUGCUCUGCUAUGGUGGUAGGCAAGCUAUAAAAGUCAAUAAAAAUAAACAAACAAUUUCACUAGAUGUUUAGAUGGCUUUAAGUCCUAAUGAAACAAACCUAAAUACAAAUUGAGGUAAAACAUUUGGCUUUGAUUUUAAAAAUAUUUUUCAGUAACAACAUGACUGGUUGCCUCUUUUUUUCAGAAAAUCCAGCUGCUAUUAAAGGAGAGGAAGUGAGGAGCCAGAGCCCUGCAGCAGGGCUAGGAUCCUGUGGGUCUCACAGGACCCACUGCCAUAAUAAUGGGAGCAGGUCCCACUGGAGAAGCACUGAUAUUCCUGUUUUCUUCAUGAGGAGACACUCUCCGCUGGGCUGUUUCAGACCCAUCUGUCCAGUUUCCAAGAGUUGGAAUCAGACAGCUGGUCAUCACCAGGUCCUGCACUGACAGUGCCACUGAAGUCCCUGAUACACACUGGGAUGGUAGGGCACUCUGCCUCCAAGAGUCCCUGUGGUCUACUCUAUGCACUCUGAGCUCUGACAGAAAGUGAGUACAAGAUGCUUUAUCCACACACUUACCGUCUCUGUGGUCUCAGCUUGUAUACUAGGAAUUUCAAACUCGCAAUUAGGAGUGAGCAACUGGAAUCAGGAGCCUCGUGGGGGAAAAUGGGAAACUUAACAAGUCUAUGACGUUGUGUAAAUGAUGUUAUAAUAACCAAAUCCUGGCCCCUGUCUUAAUCCCAUGUGCAAUCGGGGUCAGUGCAGGAAACCCCCACAUGUUCUCACAGAGAUGAAUCCUACAACAGUGGAUCUGUACAGUUGCAGAUCUACUGGCCAAAUCCAUCCCUCCCUCUGCAAUGCUACAGGGAGAAACACCACAUUGUGACAUUGCACUUUAUAUGAUUUUAUAAAAAUAUGGUAAUGAGUGUGAAUAUAACGUAACUGGAAUAUGCUUCAUGCAAAAGGUUUCUUGUAAGGUAUCAUUACAAAGCUUAUAAUCUACUGAGUGUGGUCAUCCUAUUUGUAUAAAUGUAUCACUCUUGUAUCUGAAACUAGAAAUAUGAAACAUAACUCUGAGGUCCUAUUGUAGUUAUGCAAAGUGUGGGCCAUUAAUGGUGGUUUGGAAUUUUAAUGGCUCCCAUUAACCAGGACAAUUGACUGUAGAUGGCUAUGUUUUACCUGUAAGUCUUCCUGUAUACAUGUGUGCUGGCAAGUGGGUAAUGAAGUCUUACAGUGACAUGUGAUCAUGUCACUUGAACUUGCAUCUAUCUUUAACCUGGUGCUUUCCCAUUGAGAAGGAGGGGUGGGAACCCAGAGGGAUUAUGCAAAAGAUAUAGAAGUGGGUGGAACAGAACAAAGGGGGCGGCCAUCAUGAGAAAUACCCUAGCUACCACCUGCGCUGGAACAAGGGCUGUACCAGGGGAAAGGAUUGUGCCCAGACUAGGAAG
Chrysemys picta bellii (western painted turtle) is the source of this 1928-nucleotide long non-coding RNA. NCBI's taxonomy places the organism in Eukaryota, Metazoa, Chordata, Testudines, Emydidae. The record is from Ensembl.